GACGAACGCUGGCGGCGUGCUUAACACAUGCCAGUCGAACGGAAAGGCCCUGCUUUUGUGGGGUGCUCGAGUGGCGAACGGGUGAGUAACACGUGAGUAACCUGCCCUUGACUUUGGGAUAACUUCAGGAAACUGGGGCUAAUACCGGAUAGGAGCUCCUGCUGCAUGGUGGGGGUUGGAAAGUUUCGGCGGUUGGGGGUGGACUCGCGGCUUAUCAGCUUGUUGGUGGGGUAGUGGCUUACCAAGGCUUUGACGGGUAGCCGGCCUGAGAGGGUGACCGGCCACAUUGGGACUGAGAUACGGCCCAGACUCCUACGGGAGGCAGCAGUGGGGAAUAUUGCACAAUGGGCGGAAGCCUGAUGCAGCAACGCCGCGUGCGGGAUGACGGCCUUCGGGUUGUAAACCGCUUUCGCCUGUGACGAAGCGUGAGUGACGGUAAUGGGUAAAGAAGCACCGGCUAACUACGUG
RNAcentral lists this ribosomal RNA (468 nucleotides) under uncultured bacterium. RNAcentral's name for it is "partial 16S ribosomal RNA". It matches the Rfam family "Bacterial small subunit ribosomal RNA", at positions 28 to 507 of the family's 1533-position model. The record is from RNAcentral.